GAUGAAGAACGUAGCGAAACGCGAUAGUUAAUGUGAAUUGCAGAAUUCAGUGAAUCAUCGAAUCUUUGAACGCACAUUGCGCCCCCUGGUAUUCCGGGGGGCAUGCCUGUCCGAGCGUCAUUACAACCCUCAAGCUCAGCUUGGUGUUGGGCCCCGCCGCCCCGGCGGGCCCUAAAGUCAGUGGCGGUGCCGUCCGGCUCCGAGCGUAGUAAUUCUUCUCGCUCUGGAGGUCCGGUCGUGUGCUCGCCAGCAACCCCCAAUUUUUUUCAGGUUGACCUCGGAUCAGGUAGGGAUACCCGCUGAACUUAAGCAUAUCAAUAAGCGGAGGA
Molecule: unclassified non-coding RNA, 329 nt
Filed under: soil metagenome
Description: partial contains 5.8S ribosomal RNA, internal transcribed spacer 2, and large subunit ribosomal RNA
Rfam family: 5.8S ribosomal RNA (bases 1-120)
Source: RNAcentral